This 254-nucleotide ribosomal RNA is filed under the name uncultured bacterium. Its description in RNAcentral is "partial 16S ribosomal RNA". It matches the Rfam family "Bacterial small subunit ribosomal RNA", at positions 524 to 776 of the family's 1533-position model. The record is from RNAcentral.
UACGGGGGGAGCAAGCGUUGUUCGGAUUUACUGGGCGUAAAGGGCGCGUAGGCGGCCUCCGCAAGUCAGUUGUGAAAUCUCCGAGCUUAACUCGGAAAGGUCAACUGAUACUGCGGGGCUAGAGUGCGGAAGGGGCAACUGGAAUUCUUGGUGUAGCGGUGAAAUGCGUAGAUAUCAAGAGGAACACCUGCGGCGAAGGCGGGUUGCUGGGCCGACACUGACGCUGAGGCGCGAAAGCGUGGGGAGCAAACAGG